This 253-nucleotide ribosomal RNA is filed under the name uncultured bacterium. RNAcentral's name for it is "partial 16S ribosomal RNA". It matches the Rfam family "Bacterial small subunit ribosomal RNA", at positions 524 to 776 of the family's 1533-position model. The record is from RNAcentral.
GACGGCGGAUGCAAGUGUUAUCCGGAAUCACUGGGCGUAAAGCGUCUGUAGGUGGUCAAAUAAGUCAACUGUUAAAUCUUGAGGCUCAACCUCAAAAUCGCAGUCGAAACUAUUAGACUAGAGUAUAGUAGGGGUAAAGGGAAUUUCCAGUGGAGCGGUGAAAUGCGUAGAGAUUGGAAAGAACACCGAUGGCGAAGGCACUUUACUGGGCUAUUACUAACACUCAGAGACGAAAGCUAGGGUAGCAAAUGGG